CCAACGCAGACAGCAGAAGCAGUCACAACAGGUACUAUUCAAUCAUAGAGCAAGAAUAAGAGGUGCACAAAUUGAAAAGUCCCUGCCCCACGAAGAAGCACACAUGGAUCAUGGCUGUCAGCACUGUGUCCAUUCCAGUCCUACAGGUCUACGCACAUUACUCUGUCCCUGCAAUGCACUGCUGUUGUGAACAAAUACACUUAUAAUCCAUUCUUCAUUUUGAAAGCCC
Molecule: long non-coding RNA, 229 nt
Organism: Apus apus (common swift)
Lineage: Eukaryota; Metazoa; Chordata; Aves; Apodiformes; Apodidae
Exons: 2
Source: RefSeq, a predicted model, not a curated record